CAGUCGCCGCGGUAAUACGAAGGGUGCAAGCGUUAAUCGGAAUUACUGGGCGUAAAGCGUGCGUAGGCGGUUUGUUAAGUCUGCUGUGAAAUCCCCGGGCUCAACCUGGGAAUGGCAGUGGAUACUGGCAAGCUAGAGUGUGUCAGAGGAUGGUGGAAUUCCCGGUGUAGCGGUGAAAUGCGUAGAGAUCGGGAGGAACAUCAGUGGCGAUGGCGGCCAUCUGGGACAACACUGACGCUGAGGCACGAAAGCGUGGGGAGCAAACAGGAUUAGAUACCCCCGUAGUCCCUGUCUCUUAUAC
This 301-nucleotide ribosomal RNA is filed under the name uncultured bacterium. Its description in RNAcentral is "partial 16S ribosomal RNA". It matches the Rfam family "Bacterial small subunit ribosomal RNA", at positions 509 to 807 of the family's 1533-position model. The record is from RNAcentral.